Molecule: long non-coding RNA, 948 nt
Organism: Lutra lutra (Eurasian river otter)
Lineage: Eukaryota; Metazoa; Chordata; Mammalia; Carnivora; Mustelidae
Exons: 4
Source: RefSeq, a predicted model, not a curated record
UCAAAACAAUAAGCUCUCAGCUUUAGAACCUAGAAAAAGAAGAGAAAAUAAAACUAAAGAAUAAAACCCAAAGAAUCCUCCUACCCAAUUUCAAGAUCUACAGCGACAGUAAACAAAAGUGUGUGGUGUUGGUGAAGGGAUAGACCAAUGGAACAGAAUAAAGAUAAGUGGAACAGAAACAAGGACCCAGAAAGAGAACUACACCAAUAUGUCCAAUGGGGUCUUGACAAAGGGACACCAGGGAACUUCUGGGCUCCUUCUCUGCCUUCUAGGAGGCUCUACGACGCUGGUUCUAGUGCUCUCAGCUGGCUUGUACCACACGGCCAGUUGUCUCCUGCUGCAUGUGCCACAUAUUGGCUCGGGAGGAUCAAAACCUAGAAAAAGAAGAGAAAAUAAAACUAAAGAAUAAAACCCAAAGAAUCCUCCUACCCAAUUUCAAGAUCUACAGCGACAGUAAACAAAAGUGUGUGGUGUUGGUGAAGGGAUAGACCAAUGGAACAGAAUAAAGAUAAGUGGAACAGAAACAAGGACCCAGAAAGAGAACUACACCAAUAUGUCCAAUGGGGUCUUGACAAAGGGACACCAGGGAACUUCUGGGCUCCUUCUCUGCCUUCUAGGAGGCUCUACGACGCUGGUUCUAGUGCUCUCAGCUGGCUUGUACCACACGGCCAGUUGUCUCCUGCUGCAUGUGCCACAUAUUGGCUCGGGAGGAUCAAGUGAGGGGAUGUCCUCUCAGAGAGAUACAUGGCGAACAGAAUAGAGGUCCUCUUUCUUACAUUGUUUACCCUAAUCUCUCAGUAGUUUCUACCAUCUCUUGCCUUCCCUGGAAUUUCAACCCCAGGAGAGGGGGGUGGGUCAGAAGCCCAAACUGUGGCUUCACACUUCUGUCUUUCUUGAAUGUUUUCCCCAAACCAAAGGGCUUACAACAACACCAUUGAUAACCUGAUA